This is a long non-coding RNA of Octopus sinensis (East Asian common octopus), 4559 nucleotides long. RefSeq lists it as uncharacterized. The transcript has 2 exons. NCBI's taxonomy places the organism in Eukaryota, Metazoa, Mollusca, Cephalopoda, Octopoda, Octopodidae. The record is from RefSeq and is a predicted model, not a curated record.
GUGCAUGUAGUAUUUAUCUGUAUUGUAUGUAUCUAUCUAUGUGUCUUAUGUCUUCAUAUAUGUUCAGAAAAGCUGGACAGAUACUUAUUUGAAUGGAGAGAGGGAUAACAAGAUAUGUGUAAAAAGAGAUUGAGUGUGAACAUAUUUUAUGUAGAUGGGUGGCAGAUGAAAGUCUGCUGAAUAGGUAAGGAGGACAGCAGAUGGUAACUCAGUAUGAAUUUGGUGAAAAGCCAAGAUGUUGAAUAAGUAUAUUGCAGCUUUCAUCACUCCCCAUUUUAGUAUAUAUUUCAUGAAGCUUGCACAGGUAGUUCAGCUUCUCCAACACUGUGUACUACCAGUCAACACUAUCUUUUGUCAUCCCCUUUGUGAAUUGUAAUAACUUGAGAUUAAUUUUCCUGAGUCUCCCACCUCCACAAGCUCCAUUGAUUCUAAGCAUUUGGCACUUCCCUAUACAAUUGCCCUCCUCCAUAUGUCACAUAUUGUACUAGUGCAGUCUUUUCUCUUACACUCUACAUUUGAUUCAUAUUUAUCUGGUUUUCCUCUCAUUUCAUUUGUACUCUGAUAUUAAUGCACUUAACAUUAUGUACCCAGCAAAGCAUACUUGCUUCCUUUCUUUCUUGUAUUCACAAGUCCUUUGCAUUCAUGUUGACAAUCGGCAUGUAUGUCAUGCUGCUAGACAGCAUUGCACUUCACACAAGCAUUAUAAAAUCUGCCCUUUGCCCUCAAAGAGAAGCCCUUUGUUGCUAGUAGAGAUAAUUGAUUAUGUCACAAAAGUUAUUGACUGCUUAUGGAAAGCAGUCCAGGUGUUUUGAGAUAAUCUAUGCUCUGAUUGUGCUUAAUGGAUAUUAGGUCAAUGCAUAUGAUACUGCUAUGAAGUCUACCUUCCAUUUAAUCUGAUUUUUGGUCCCAGUUUUUUUAUUUUUUUUUUUUAUCAGACCAUGCAAUUUGCAUCCUCCUACCAACACUUUUCACAUUAUUCCUUAAACAAUAAUAGUUACUGGGAUAAAUGUUGCUAUUGUGAGAAGUAGUGGUAGUAUCUGGGCCAGUAUUAAAGUUAUGCGUGUGGUGGUCAGGAACAUUAUUUUACUGGAUAUUUUACUGUCUUGGAUCCAUGCUCUUGGACUUUUACUAUCUCGGAUAUUCACCCUCAGACUUAAAUUCUUUAACCUUUGUUUUUUCAUGUAAAAAUACUCUUUUUAUGCCAGUAUUUUCUAAUUUACAUACAGAUGCUAACUAUGGACAACACUCAUGUUUGUCUACCACAAUAUGUUUUUGAAUUACUUAUACACAUACAGACAAGAACACUUUAUAUUGCAUACUGCCAUGUCAUCACCUUUGCACAUCUAGUUACAAAUAUUUGCUCACUAAGCCUCUCGUGCACAUUUUCAUACUACCCAGCAAAAAUACAUACUUGUACUUUCACAGAUAUACACAUAAUAUAACCUUCCUAACACCCAUUCAAAUACUAUCUUCCUCUUACUAAGUGAAAUCACUGACACCCUACAUACUCACUCAUUGCAUUUCUUGAUCCUUAAUAGAAUAGCAUUCUCUGAUUUACAGCUCUUUACAUUGCUCUUGUCCUAUCAUUUUUGUCUGUCUCUCUGUCUCUCUUUCUUCUCUCAUGUGUAUUUGUGUGUGUGUAUAUACAUAGGCAUAUAAUGUACAUCAAUACUCACACACAUAAAUGCAUAAAUAUGUGAGAAAAUUUUUAAGAUGUAUGAUUUAUCAUUCUUUAUUGUCUUUCUAAUAUUCUUUAGAAUUUACAUGAAAUCCUUCAAUGUGAACUCAGGUUUUACCAAUCAAAACGAGUACAACUGCAAUUGUAAUUCCAAAUGUUGUCUCAUAUUCAAUAUGGUUAGUCUGGAUUUUAACAAAGCGCUCAUAAAGUAUCUGCCGGGAUUAAAAACCCCUAUUCCUUUGUGUUACACACACACACAUACACACAAUGGGUGAGGAGGUGCUAAUAUAAGCAUACAAUUGAUGAACACCAGAUUACUAUUUGGAAAAGUCCAAAAUUCUUAAAAUCCAGUAAAAAUGAUUCACAGAACAAAAGCCAGCUAUAAGAACUGUGUAACUCAAGCAUAAAAUAAAAUGCUAAAAGAUGAACAAAUGCAUAUGUAUGGCGUAAUAUCCGUUGUAUCAUUUAUAUACUAUGUUAUAUAAGCAUAACCAAACUAUAACAACUGCAGCAAAAAUGCUCCUAGAUAGUUCUUUACAACUGUUUCAAAACUUUUGUGACUGAUAGAGUUGUAUGUAUUAUGCAAACGGGUGGUGCAUAUUGAUGUAAUAUACAUCAAAUAAAUAGAAAAAAUUAUGAGCACAUAAACAUGAAAUCUCUUAAGCAAUCUGAGCCAAAGGCUUUAAAUUGCCAAAAUUUUCUUCAGAAGAAAACAGCGGUAGAAUACAAUUCAUCUAGGAGUAGACUGGUAUUUAUGAGUAUAGAAACAUCAAUAAAAAAUGGAGGAAAGUGGGUGGCAAAUGAUAGAAACGUGAGAUCUAGAGUGUACAGAAAGUGUGUGUGUGUGUGUGUGUGAGAGAGAGAGAGAGAGAGAGAAAGGUGGGAUAGAAGAGAGGAAAGUAAAGAACAAAGAAAACGGAAACAAAAAAGUAAAAAGCGGACAAGAGAUGAAAAGGCUAUAAAGAUUCUUUAUAACCAGAAUCAGGAAAAUCGAAAUUUUCUCGUUUACAAACAGUGGGAUGCAAUUAUAUUCUGUACACAUAGCUUUUUUGAUUUUUGAAACGUUUACAUUUUACUAUAGAUUAAUAUGUUCCAAAGACAUUAGAUAACUAUAAACCACAUUUUAACCUAAUUUCCUCGUACUAACUUAUAUAGUCUUCUCCAUCUGUUUUACUUAUAAACUAGGACUUAACAUAUCUUCAUCCUAAGAAUAACUUAAUCUUUAAACAUUAUAAAUAUUUACAAAACUACGUCCCCACAAAGGGACAUACUAUUUUCUAUAGGCUUAGAUAUGGCUAUGUGGAUAACAAGUUCGCUUACCACCCACUUUUCUCCGACUUUUAUUGGUGUUUCCAUACUCUUAAAUACAAGUCUAUUUGCCAGAGAAACGGUAUUCUACCUCCUCUUUCUUCUAAAGAAAAAUUCUGAAAACCAAACCUAUAGCGUGGAUUCAUAUGAGACAUGUUUUUUUCUUAUAAUUUUGUUUUUUACUUAUUUGAUGCGUGUUACUUCAUUAGUAUGCCCGACCCACUUGUUUUUGUGUAAUACAUAAUAUGUAUUGCAACAAACAGUCGCUGAAUCUUUGAAACAGUUGUAAAGAAUUAUCUUGGAGUAUUUUCGCUUCAGUUGUUAUAUUUUGGCUAUUUUUAACGUUUUUGCAAAUUAUAUAUAUAUAAAAAAAGUACUGUGCCAUAUACACAUGUUUGUCCAUCUUUUAUUUCUAUCAGUCUGUCCGUCUGUCUCUCACACAUACACACAUACAUAUACACACUCAUACCUCAGUACUACGGACCUCCCUUUAACAGAUUUCGGAAGCAGCGGACAAAAUCACGGCAUAUUAACAACGUUUCUUCACCAUCCAUGAAGUCCGUGCUUGCGUCUAGGAUGAAAUUGUUGCCUAAAUUAAGUCCCAUGGAGGAAGAACAAAAUUGCUCCUUAAGAAAGGCAUUUUAGAAAAUGGACAUGCCAUAUGAAAUAACCAGAAAAUUUUUGCGAGGAUAACUUACCACCAAACAAAUUCUCUCUGAUAAUGAUACAGCCAAGAUGAAAUGUUGUCAGUUAAUCAAAGGACAAUUCUCUUAUCCAGUAUCACUGUUUUUCAUGUAAAUGCUCUGAUCAAGCAGCAUAGCUGUGUUAUUUGGAGAUAUGAAAGUACCAAACGCUAUACUGAAAAAAAAACAACCCCUUUAACAUCUAGUAUCAAUAUCUGAACUGCAAUAUUUCAAAAUAAGUUGAUUAGACUGAUUUUUGCUUUUGGGGAAUGCACAACAAAAUUUAUUUAGCCACGUUGAAUAACUAUUUUAUAACAACAUUUAAACAACUGAUGAUUGAACAGAACCUAUAUCCAACAGGAUGGAAGUUCUUUAGAAUGGGAACUCCAAAUAAAGGAGUUUCUAAAUUGCCCAUUUCAUGAAAAAUGGACUAUCCAUUCUGUUUCAACUGCUUGGCCUACAAGAAACCCUGAACAUUUAUUUACGAAGUGUAAUUAAGGCAGAGAUUUACGAGAGAAAACCUCUAAAUGUUGGUUUCAAAUUUUGACACAAGGCUAGCAAUUUCGGACCAGUGCUCAACUGAGACUUAUUUUAUUGACCCCGAAAGGCAGAAUUUGAAUUAGACGAAAUACCUCUAAGCAUUUUGACCGGCGUGCUAACAUUUCUGCCCUAAAAAGCCUAAAAAUAUUAAUGAGAUGAAUACAUUUACAAAGGAAGAAUUUGAUCAUCAAAACGACUCAAACCUAUUUUUGAUACUAUGGUUCAUCGAUUUUCCCCCUUUUAUUAAAGUUGAAGGACGAUAUAUCCAGCAUAAAUAACAGUACAGUAUAGCAUUAACAUUUUUAGACAUUCCUUUUGUUUCAAUAAACUUCUUCUUACAUAAACUAUAA